GAUGAACGCUGGCGGCGUGCCUAAUACAUGCAAGUCGAGCGAACAGAUGAGAAGCUUGCUUCUCUGAUGUUAGCGGCGGACGGGUGAGUAACACGUGGGUAACCUACCUAUAAGACUGGGAUAACUCCGGGAAACCGGGGCUAAUACCGGAUAAUAUUUUGAACUGCAUGGUUCAAUAGUGAAAGACGGUUUCGGCUGUCACUUCUAGAUGGACCCGCGCCGUAUUAGCUAGUUGGUAAGGUAACGGCUUACCAAGGCGACGAUACGUAGCCGACCUGAGAGGGUGAUCGGCCACACUGGAACUGAGACACGGUCCAGACUCCUACGGGAGGCAGCAGUAGGGAAUCUUCCGCAAUGGGCGAAAGCCUGACGGAGCAACGCCGCGUGAGUGAUGAAGGUCUUCGGAUCGUAAAACUCUGUUGUUAGGGAAGAACAAAUUUGUUAGUAACUGAACAAGUCUUGACGGUACCUAACCAGAAAGCCACGGCUAACUACGUGCCAGCCGCCGCAGUAA
RNAcentral lists this ribosomal RNA (514 nucleotides) under uncultured bacterium. RNAcentral describes it as "partial 16S ribosomal RNA". It matches the Rfam family "Bacterial small subunit ribosomal RNA", at positions 28 to 523 of the family's 1533-position model. The record is from RNAcentral.